GAUGAACGCUGGCGGCGUGCCUAAUACAUGCAAGUCGAGCGAACAGACGAGGAGCUUGCUCCUCUGACGUUAGCGGCGGACGGGUGAGUAACACGUGGAUAACCUACCUAUAAGACUGGGAUAACUUCGGGAAACCGGAGCUAAUACCGGAUAAUAUAUUGAACCGCAUGGUUCAAUAGUGAAAGACGGUUUUGCUGUCACUUAUAGAUGGAUCCGCGCCGCAUUAGCUAGUUGGUAAGGUAACGGCUUACCAAGGCGACGAUGCGUAGCCGACCUGAGAGGGUGAUCGGCCACACUGGAACUGAGACACGGUCCAGACUCCUACGGGAGGCAGCAGUAGGGAAUCUCCCGCAAUGGGCGAAAGCCUGACGGAGCAACGCCGCGUGAGUGAUGAAGGUCUUCGGAUCGUAAAACUCUGUUAUUAGGGAAGGACAAAUGUGUAAGUAACUAUGCACGUCUUGACGGUACCUAAUCAGAAAGCCACGGCUAACUACGUG
RNAcentral lists this ribosomal RNA (497 nucleotides) under uncultured bacterium. RNAcentral describes it as "partial 16S ribosomal RNA". It matches the Rfam family "Bacterial small subunit ribosomal RNA", at positions 28 to 507 of the family's 1533-position model. The record is from RNAcentral.